CAGCAGCCGCGGUAAUACGUAGGGGGCGAGCGUUGUCCGGAAUUAUUGGGCGUAAAGGGUGCGUAGGCGGCCUUAUAAGUCAGAUGUGAAAUACCAGGGCUUAACUCUGGGGGUGCAUUUGAAACUAUUUGGCUUGAGUGCAGGAGAGGAAAGUGGAAUUCCUAGUGUAGCGGUGAAAUGCGUAGAGAUUAGGAGGAACACCAGUGGCGAAGGCGACUUUCUGGACUGUAACUGACGCUGAUGCACGAAAGCGUGGGUAGCGAACAGGAUUAGAUACCCUGGUAGUCCACGCCGUAAACGAUGGAUACUAGGUGUAGGGGGUAUCGACCCCCUCUGUGCCGGAGUUAACGCAAUAAGUAUCCCGCCUGGGGAGUACGUGCGCAAGCAUGAAACUCAAAGGAAUUGACGGGGACCCGCACAAGCAGCGGAGCAUGUGGUUUAAUUCGAAGCAACGCGAAGAACCUUACCAGGGCUUGACAUCCCACUGACUGGUGUAGAGAUACAUCUUUCCUUCGGGACAGUGGAGACAGGAGGUGCAUGGCC
RNAcentral lists this ribosomal RNA (543 nucleotides) under uncultured archaeon. RNAcentral's name for it is "bacterial SSU rRNA". It matches the Rfam family "Bacterial small subunit ribosomal RNA", at positions 509 to 1050 of the family's 1533-position model. The record is from RNAcentral.